CAGGGUUUGAUUCAGAUCUAUACAGUGGAAAAAUGGCAGCAGUCAUUUGAUGGUGAAAUAGCUCAGUCUUAGCUCAUAGGAAAAGUGUGUUUUGAUGGAGAUACAUGUUUUGAUAGAGAGCCUCCCGGGGAGUGAAAGUCAGGCUGUGGACAUAAAAAGGAUGAGCCAAGAAUGACUGGACUGACCAACAUCAUCCGUGUUCUUAACCAAGGACCCCGGUUCAGCUCUCUCUGAAGUAACA
Bubalus bubalis (water buffalo) is the source of this 241-nucleotide long non-coding RNA. RefSeq lists it as uncharacterized. The record is from RefSeq and is a predicted model, not a curated record. The transcript has 3 exons. Lineage: Eukaryota; Metazoa; Chordata; Mammalia; Artiodactyla; Bovidae.